Long non-coding RNA from Callorhinus ursinus (northern fur seal), 625 nucleotides. RefSeq lists it as uncharacterized. Lineage: Eukaryota; Metazoa; Chordata; Mammalia; Carnivora; Otariidae. The record is from RefSeq and is a predicted model, not a curated record.
GGCAAGAUUCUGGGACUGAGAGUAGAAAAUAAGCUCAAGAACUAAGGUAAAAGUCUUCUACUGACUGCCUCCUUGAAAAAGCCAAGUUACAGCUAUUUUCAAGUUCAAUGGUCAAAAACUUUUGAAGUAAACCCAGGGAAAAUACUCUGAUUGAUCUUGGCAUUUUCCGGCAGAUCCACUUUCUGGGUCCCACCUGGUUCUAUAUCAUUAUUAUCUGGCUGACUUUUCAUCCUCACCAGACUGUGAGCAAGUCAAAGAAGAAGACCAAGCCCUGAGCUUGAACUGUGUGGUUGAGAAGAAAGAAGCGGCAUUCCCCCUCUGUUGUCAAGACGUCUAAAGUGAGAAGAUUUUCAGAGGCUCGUUCCAGCAUGUAAAAGAGAGAGACGACUGUCCAAUGAGCCUCGUCUUCUUGUGAACAUGGAUAUGGAUCCUUGCCUCAAAUAGCACCAAAGUUCAUGUGACCAUUCCAUAUGAAGAAAGACCCUUUGGAUGACUGACCGCCUAAGAGCAGAAGGACUUGGGGAAGGAGCUUAUGUUUCAGAAUGAAGAGCCCUAAAGUAAGUAGCAGCAGUUAAGAGUUACAUGUAGAUGUGAAGAAUUCUAAAAGUGAAAGGAAAACUGCAAA